Molecule: ribosomal RNA, 588 nt
Filed under: uncultured bacterium
Lineage: Bacteria
Description: partial 16S ribosomal RNA
Rfam family: Bacterial small subunit ribosomal RNA
Source: RNAcentral
UGGGGAAUAUUGGACAAUGGGCGCAAGCCUGAUCCAGCAAUGCCGCGUGUGUGAAGAAGGCCUUCGGGUUGUAAAGCACUUUUAUCAGGAGCGAAACGCUGUCGGCUAAUACCCGGCGGAACUGACGGUACCUGAGGAAUAAGCACCGGCUAACUUCGUGCCAGCAGCCACGGUAAUACGAAGGGUGCAAGCGUUAAUCGGAAUUACUGGGCGUAAAGCGUGCGUAGGCGGUUUCUUAAGUCUGCUGUGAAAUCCCCGGGCUCAACCUGGGAAUGGCAGUGGAUACUGGGAGGCUAGAGUGUGUCAGAGGGUGGUGGAAUUCCCGGUGUAGCGGUGAAAUGCGUAGAGAUCGGGAGGAACAUCAGUGGCGAAGGCGGCCACCUGGGACAACACUGACGCUGAGGCACGAAAGCGUGGGGAGCAAACAGGAUUAGAUACCCUGGUAGUCCACGCCCUAAACGAUGCGAACUGGAUGUUGGUCUCAACUCGGAGAUCAGUGUCGAAGCUAACGCGUUAAGUUCGCCGCCUGGGGAGUACGGUCGCAAGACUGAAACUCAAAUGAAUUGACGGGGUCAUAGCUGUUUCCUG